This 307-nucleotide RNase P RNA is filed under the name Thermoplasmata archaeon. Its description in RNAcentral is "RNase P RNA component". It matches the Rfam family "Archaeal RNase P". Rfam says of the family: Ribonuclease P (RNase P) is a ubiquitous endoribonuclease, found in archaea, bacteria and eukarya as well as chloroplasts and mitochondria. Its best characterised activity is the generation of mature 5'-ends of tRNAs by cleaving the 5'-leader elements of precursor-tRNAs. Lineage: Archaea; Methanobacteriati; Thermoplasmatota; Thermoplasmata. RNAcentral also lists the same sequence under 1 other name. The record is from RNAcentral.
GGGAGAAGCUGGACCGCUCACGGCUUCGUGCUGAGGAAAGUCCUCCCUCACGGACAGCAGUGACCUGCGUAAGCAGGUAUGCCGAGAGGCAUGGCAACGGAACAGAAACGACACAGCUUCACAGGUAGACAAUGAAAGGGGUUGCCCUUGAGGUUCUGUGGAGAUUUGAUGAAACGGCCGCCCCACUGUGAGCAAGCCCAAACAUUUGGGAUGACAAGUCCAGGACCAAAGGGUAGGGUGCUUAGGUGAAUGCGGUCUGCCUCUCCUUAGGGGGAGGGAAACAGAAGGAGGCUUACACGCUUCACCC